GCCACCAUUGCUUAGCCAGGUAGAGCGGCUGACUUGUAAUCAGCAGGCCGAGGGUUCGAAUCCCUCUGGUGGCUCCA
This 77-nucleotide transfer RNA is filed under the name Candidatus Methanomethylophilaceae archaeon. RNAcentral describes it as "tRNA-Thr". It matches the Rfam family "tRNA". From Rfam's summary of the family: Transfer RNA (tRNA) molecules are approximately 80 nucleotides in length. Lineage: Archaea; Methanobacteriati; Thermoplasmatota; Thermoplasmata; Methanomassiliicoccales; Methanomethylophilaceae. The record is from RNAcentral.